This 131-nucleotide ribosomal RNA is filed under the name Pseudomonas sp. enrichment culture. RNAcentral describes it as "partial 16S ribosomal RNA". It matches the Rfam family "Bacterial small subunit ribosomal RNA", at positions 337 to 465 of the family's 1533-position model. Lineage: Bacteria; Pseudomonadati; Pseudomonadota; Gammaproteobacteria; Pseudomonadales; Pseudomonadaceae. The record is from RNAcentral.
GCCUACGGGAGGCAGCAGUGGGGAAUAUUGGACAAUGGGCGAAAGCCUGAUCCAGCCAUGCCGCGUGUGUGAAGAAGGUCUUCGGAUUGUAAAGCACUUUAAGUUGGGAGGAAGGGCAGUAAGCUAAUACC